RNAcentral lists this ribosomal RNA (500 nucleotides) under uncultured bacterium. Its description in RNAcentral is "bacterial SSU rRNA". It matches the Rfam family "Bacterial small subunit ribosomal RNA", at positions 28 to 520 of the family's 1533-position model. The record is from RNAcentral.
GAUGAACGCUAGCGGCAGGCUUAAUACAUGCAAGUCGAGGGGCAGCAUGGUGUAGCAAUACACUGAUGGCGACCGGCAAACGGGUGCGGAACACGUACAGAACCUUCCUUCGAGCGGGGAAUAGCCCAGAGAAAUUUGGAUUAAUACCCCAUAGUAUAUUGGAGUGGCAUCACUUUAGUAUUAAAGAUUUAUCACUUGAAGAUGGCUGUGCGGCUGAUUAGGUAGUUGGCGGGGUAACGGCCCACCAAGCCUGCGAUCAGUAACUGGUGUGAGAGCACGACCAGUCACACGGGCACUGAGACACGGGCCCGACUCCUACGGGAGGCAGCAGUAAGGAAUAUUGGUCAAUGGACGAAAGUCUGAACCAGCCAUGCCGCGUGGAGGAUGAAGGUCCUCUGGAUUGUAAACUUCUUUUAUAUGGGACGAAAAAAGGGCUUUCUAGCUCGUCUGACGGUACCAUAUGAAUAAGCACCGGCUAACUCCGUGCCAGCAGCCGACGG